RNAcentral lists this ribosomal RNA (253 nucleotides) under uncultured bacterium. RNAcentral describes it as "partial 16S ribosomal RNA". It matches the Rfam family "Bacterial small subunit ribosomal RNA", at positions 524 to 776 of the family's 1533-position model. The record is from RNAcentral.
UACGUAGGGUGCAAGCGUUGUCCGGAAUUAUUGGGCGUAAAGCGCGUGUAGGCGGUCCGGUAAGUCGGCUGUGAAAGUCCAGGGCUCAACCCUGGGAUGCCGGUCGAUACUGCCUGACUAGAGUUCGGAAGAGGCGAGUGGAAUUCCCGGUGUAGCGGUGAAAUGCGCAGAUAUCGGGAGGAACACCAAUGGCGAAGGCAGCUCGCUGGGACGUUACUGACGCUGAGACGCGAAAGCGUGGGGAGCAAACAGG